CUCGUAGGCGGUUCGUCGCGUCCGGUGUGAAGGUCCAUCGCCUAACGGUGGAUCUGCGCCGGGUACGGGCGGGCUGGAGUGCGGUAGGGGAGACUGGAAUUCCCGGUGUAACGGUGGAAUGUGUAGAUAUCGGGAGGAACACCGGUGGCGAAGGCGGCCCUCUGGGCCGAGACCGACGCUGAGGCGCGAAAGCUGGGGGAGCGAACA
This 207-nucleotide ribosomal RNA is filed under the name uncultured bacterium. Its description in RNAcentral is "partial 16S ribosomal RNA". It matches the Rfam family "Bacterial small subunit ribosomal RNA", at positions 568 to 774 of the family's 1533-position model. The record is from RNAcentral.